CCUACGGGGGGCAGCAUUGAGGAAUAUUGGUCAAUGGCCGGACGGCUGAACCAGCCAUGCCGCGUGAAGGUCAGUGCCCUAUGGGCGUUAAACUUCUUUUGUGCGGGAGCAAUAAUGGUCACGUGUGGCCAGACGAGAGUACCGUACGAAUAAGCAUCGGCUAACUCCGUGCCAGCAGCCGCGGUAAUACGGGGGAUGCAAGCGUUAUCCGGAUUUAUUGGGUUUAACGGGUGCUUAGGCUGUGAGGGAAGUCAGCGGUGAAAUGCCCCCGCUCAACGGGGUGAAGUGCCAUUGAUACUGCCGUGCUGGAAUGCGGAUGCCGUGGGAGGAAUGUGUGGUGUAGCGGUGAAAUGCAUAGAUAGCACACAGAACACCGAUUGCGAAGGCAUCUCACGAAUCCGCGAUUGACGCUGAUGCACGAAAGCGUGGGUAUCAAACAGGAUUAGAUACCCUAGUAGUC
RNAcentral lists this ribosomal RNA (460 nucleotides) under uncultured bacterium. RNAcentral describes it as "partial 16S ribosomal RNA". It matches the Rfam family "Bacterial small subunit ribosomal RNA", at positions 338 to 795 of the family's 1533-position model. The record is from RNAcentral.